UAGGGAAUCUUCCGCAAUGGGCGAAAGCCUGACGGAGCAACGCCGCGUGAGUGAUGAAGGUCUUCGGAUCGUAAAACUCUGUUAUUAGGGAAGAACAAAUGUGUAAGUAACUAUGCACGUCUUGACGGUACCUAAUCAGAAAGCCACGGCUAACUACGUGCCAGCAGCCGCGGUAAUACGUAGGUGGCAAGCGUUAACCGGAAUUAUUGGGCGUAAAGCGCGCGUAGGCGGUUUUUUAAGUCUGAUGUGAAAGCCCACGGCUCAACCGUUGAGGGUCAUUGGAAACUGGAAAACUUGAGUGCAGAAGAGGAAAGUGGAAUUCCAUGUGUAGCGGUGAAAUGCGCAGAGAUAUGGAGGAACACCAGUGGCGAAGGCGACUUUCUGGUCUGUAACUGACGCUGAUGUGCGAAAGCGUGGGGAUCAAACAGG
RNAcentral lists this ribosomal RNA (429 nucleotides) under Actinomycetes bacterium. Its description in RNAcentral is "Actinobacteria bacterium partial 16S ribosomal RNA". It matches the Rfam family "Bacterial small subunit ribosomal RNA", at positions 355 to 776 of the family's 1533-position model. The record is from RNAcentral. Lineage: Bacteria; Bacillati; Actinomycetota; Actinomycetes.